CGUACACUCCUACGGGAGGCAGCAGUGGGGAAUAUUGCACAAUGGGCGCAAGCCUGAUGCAGCGACGCCGCGUGGGGGAUGAAGGCCUUCGGGUUGUAAACUCCUUUCGCUAGGGACGAAGCUUUUUUGUGACGGUACCUAGAUAAGAAGCACCGGCUAACUACGUGCCAGCAGCCGCGGUAAUACGUAGGGUGCGAGCGUUGUCCGGAAUUACUGGGCGUAAAGGGCUCGUAGGUGGUUUGUCGCGUCGUCUGUGAAAUUCUGGGGCUUAACUCCGGGCGUGCAGGCGAUACGGGCAUAACUUGAGUGCUGUAGGGGUAACUGGAAUUCCUGGUGUAGCGGUGAAAUGCGCAGAUAUCAGGAGGAACACCGAUGGCGAAGGCAGGUUACUGGGCAGUUACUGACGCUGAGGAGCGAAAGCAUGGGUAGCGAACAGGAUUAGAAACCCCUGGUAGUCCCAUGA
This 463-nucleotide ribosomal RNA is filed under the name uncultured organism. RNAcentral's name for it is "partial 16S ribosomal RNA". It matches the Rfam family "Bacterial small subunit ribosomal RNA", at positions 330 to 800 of the family's 1533-position model. The record is from RNAcentral.